GGGUAACGGGGAAUUAGGGUUCGAUUCCGGAGAGGGAGCCUGAGAAACGGCUACCACAUCCAAGGAAGGCAGCAGGCGCGCAAAUUACCCAAUCCCGACACGGGGAGGUAGUGACAAUAAAUAACAACACAGGGCUCUUUCGGGUCUUGUUAUUGGAAUGAGUACGAUUUAAAUCUCCUAACGAGGAACAAUUGGAGGGCAAGUCUGGUGCCAGCAGCCGCGGUAAUUCCAGCUCCAAUAGCGUAUAUUAAAGUUGUUGCAGUUAAAAAGCUCGUAGUUGAAUUUCAGGCCUGGCUGGACGGUCCGCCCUUCGGGUGAGUACUGUCUGUGGUCGGGUCCUACCUUCUGGCGAAGCGUCAUGGCCUUAACCGGCCGUGGCGGGGAACCAGGACUUUUACUGUGAAAAAAUUAGAGUGUUCAAAGCAGGCAAUCGCUUGGAUACAUUAGCAUGGAAUAAUGGAAUAGGACAAUGGUUCUAUUUGUUGGUUUCUAGGACCGUUGUAAUGAUUAAUAGGGAUAGUUGGGGGCAUUAGUAUUCAAUUGUCAGAGGUGAAAUUCUUGGAUUUAUUGAAGACUAACUACUGCGAAAGCAUUUGCCAAGGAUGUUUUCAUUAAUCAAGAACGAAAGUUAGGGGAUCGAAGACGAUCAGAUACC
RNAcentral lists this ribosomal RNA (655 nucleotides) under uncultured Paraglomus. RNAcentral's name for it is "SSU rRNA". It matches the Rfam family "Eukaryotic small subunit ribosomal RNA", at positions 357 to 1016 of the family's 1831-position model. The record is from RNAcentral. Lineage: Eukaryota; Fungi; Glomeromycota; Glomeromycetes; Paraglomerales; Paraglomeraceae.